This 429-nucleotide ribosomal RNA is filed under the name bacterium. RNAcentral's name for it is "partial 16S ribosomal RNA". It matches the Rfam family "Bacterial small subunit ribosomal RNA", at positions 355 to 776 of the family's 1533-position model. The record is from RNAcentral.
UAGGGAAUCUUCGGCAAUGGGGGCAACCCUGACCGAGCAACGCCGCGUGAGUGAAGAAGGUUUUCGGAUCGUAAAGCUCUGUUUUAAGAGAAGAACGUGUGUGAGAGUGGAAAGUUCACACAGUGACGGUAACUUACCAGAAAGGGACGGCUAACUACGUGCCAGCAGCCGCGGUAAUACGUAGGUCCCGAGCGUUGUCCGGAUUUAUUGGGCGUAAAGCGAGCGCAGGCGGUUUAAUAAGUCUGAAGUUAAAGGCAGUGGCUUAACCAUUGUUCGCUUUGGAAACUGUUAAACUUGAGUGCAGAAGGGGAGAGUGGAAUUCCAUGUGUAGAGGUGAAAUGCGUAGAUAUAUGGAGGAACACCGGUGGCGAAAGCGGCUCUCUGGUCUGUAACUGACGCUGAGGCUCGAAAGCGUGGGGAGCAAACAGG